GAAUAUUGGUCAAUGGGCGCAAGCCUGAACCAGCCAUGCCGCGUGAAGGAUGACAGCGCUAUGCGUUGUAAACUUCUUUUAUACGGGAAGAAACUUCUCUACGUGUAGAGCUUUGACGGUACCUUACGAAUAAGCAUCGGCUAACUCCGUGCCAGCAGCCGCGGUAAUACGGAGGAUGCAAGCGUUAUCCGGAUUUAUUGGGUUUAAAGGGUGCGUACGCGGAAAAUUAAGUCAGUGAUGAAAUCCUGCAGCUCAACUGUAGAACUGUUAUUGAUACUGAUUUUCUUGAAUUUAGUUGAGGUAGGCGGAAUGUGUAAUGUAGCGGUGAAAUGCUUAGAUAUUACACAGAACACCGAUUGCGAAGGCAGCUUACUAAGCUAAAAUUGACGCUGAGGCACGAAAGCGUGGGGAGCGAACAGGAUUAGAUACCCUGGUAGUCCACGCCGUAAACGAUGAUUACUCGUUGUUGGCGAUACAUAGUCAGCGACUGAGCGAAAGCAUUAAGUAAUCCACCUGGGGAGUACGAUCGCAAGAUUGAAACUCAAAGGAGUUGAC
RNAcentral lists this ribosomal RNA (555 nucleotides) under uncultured bacterium. Its description in RNAcentral is "bacterial SSU rRNA". It matches the Rfam family "Bacterial small subunit ribosomal RNA", at positions 359 to 914 of the family's 1533-position model. The record is from RNAcentral.